UUCGAUUGUGCCAGCAGCCGCGGUAAUACGGAGGGUGCAAGCGUUAAUCGGAAUUACUGGGCGUAAAGCGCACGCAGGCGGUUUGUUAAGUCAGAUGUGAAAUCCCCGGGCUCAACCUGGGAACUGCAUUUGAAACUGGCAAGCUAGAGUCUCGUAGAGGAUGGUAGAAUUCCAGGUGUAGCGGUGAAAUGCGUAGAGAUCUGGAGGAAUACCGAUGGCGAAGGCAGCCAUCUGGCCUAAUACUGACGCUGAGGUACGAAAGCAUGGGGAGCAAACAGGAUUAGAUACCCUGGUAGUCCACGCUGUAAACGAUGUCGACUUGGAGGUUGUGCCCUUGAGGCGUGGCUUCCGGAGCUAACGCGUUAAGUCGACCGCCUGGGGAGU
RNAcentral lists this ribosomal RNA (384 nucleotides) under uncultured bacterium. RNAcentral describes it as "bacterial SSU rRNA". It matches the Rfam family "Bacterial small subunit ribosomal RNA", at positions 498 to 881 of the family's 1533-position model. The record is from RNAcentral.